Molecule: small RNA, 328 nt
Filed under: Histoplasma capsulatum var. duboisii H88
Lineage: Eukaryota; Fungi; Ascomycota; Eurotiomycetes; Onygenales; Ajellomycetaceae
Description: Histoplasma capsulatum H88 hypothetical RNA
Source: RNAcentral
GCCAGCGGCUUGGUUUUGCAUAUAUUUAUUUGACCUUUCUACCUGCUGCUGGAACCAAGGAGAGCAAACACGCAGGCAAGCCUCGAACGCCGCCCGGUCUCAGCCAUCUGCACGCCUGGCCCACAGAAAUCAUGUUUCGUUUCCCCCGCUCAUAGUGUGGGUAGAUAAGAUAGACUAUUGGCUGCUAUAUUUAAAGAUGGGCGGGAAUGAGUUUAGACGAGAGAAAGAGACUAAAAAGAAAAAAAUUAAAUUGAAUUAAAUCAAUAAAUAAAAAAAGAGGAAAAGCAAAAAUCUGCUGGGUUGGCACGGAAUGCAGCGAGCCCCGUCC